GCCUUUGAAGCAUAAUUGGUGAUGCAUCGGUCUUGUAAACCGAAUAACAGGGUUCGAAUCCUUGCUUAGGCC
RNAcentral lists this transfer RNA (72 nucleotides) under Ignavibacteria bacterium. RNAcentral's name for it is "tRNA-Thr". It matches the Rfam family "tRNA". Rfam says of the family: Transfer RNA (tRNA) molecules are approximately 80 nucleotides in length. Their secondary structure includes four short double-helical elements and three loops (D, anti-codon, and T loops). Further hydrogen bonds mediate the characteristic L-shaped molecular structure. tRNAs have two regions of fundamental functional importance: the anti-codon, which is responsible for specific mRNA codon recognition, and the 3' end, to which the tRNAs corresponding amino acid is attached (by aminoacyl-tRNA synthetases). tRNAs cope with the degeneracy of the genetic code in two manners: having more than one tRNA (with a specific anti-codon) for a particular amino acid; and 'wobble' base-pairing, i.e. permitting non-standard base-pairing at the 3rd anti-codon position. Lineage: Bacteria; Pseudomonadati; Ignavibacteriota; Ignavibacteria. RNAcentral also lists the same sequence under 1 other name. The record is from RNAcentral.